RNAcentral lists this ribosomal RNA (242 nucleotides) under uncultured bacterium. RNAcentral describes it as "partial 16S ribosomal RNA". It matches the Rfam family "Bacterial small subunit ribosomal RNA", at positions 15 to 253 of the family's 1533-position model. The record is from RNAcentral.
GAUCAUGGCUUAGAUUGAACGCUGGCGGCAGGCCUAACACAUGCAAGUCGAACGGUAACAGGAAGCAGCUUGCUGCUUUGCUGACGAGUGGCGGACGGGUGAGUAAUGUCUGGGAAACUGCCUGAUGGAGGGGGAUAACUACUGGAAACGGUAGCUAAUACCGCAUAACGUCGCAAGACCAAAGAGGGGGACCUUAGGGCCUCCUGCCAUCGGAUGUGCCCAGAUGGGAUUAGCUAGUAGGG